AACGGCCGCGGUAUACUGACCGUGCAAAGGUAGCGCAAUCAAUUGUCUUUUAAAUGAAGGCCCGUAUGAAUGGCAUAACGAGGGCUUAACUGUCUCCUUUUUUCAGUCAAUGAAAUUGAUCUUACCGUGCAGAAGCGGUAAUAAUAACAUAAGACGAGAAGACCCUAUGGAGCUUAUAAACGCAAGAGCAGCUUAUGUCACUGUUAUAAAUUUACAAACUAUCUAAACCUAUUAACCCCUGCUCUAGUGUUUUUGGUUGGGGCGACCAUGGGAUAAAACUAAACUCCCACGCAGAAUGAAAACACAAUAUUUUCCAACUUAAGAACAACGGUUCUAAAAAACAGAACUUCUGACUUUAAUUGAUCCGGCCUGAGCCGAUAAACGAACAAAGUUACCCUAGGGAUAACAGCGCAAUCCUCUUUUAGAGUUCUUAUCGACAAGAAGGUUUACGACCUCGAUGUUGGACCAGGACAUCCUAAU
Molecule: ribosomal RNA, 480 nt
Filed under: Epiplatys bifasciatus
Lineage: Eukaryota; Metazoa; Chordata; Actinopteri; Cyprinodontiformes; Nothobranchiidae
Description: partial 16S ribosomal RNA
Rfam family: Bacterial large subunit ribosomal RNA
Source: RNAcentral